CACUUCUUUAGGGAAUGUACAGUGCCGUUUGUUCCCUCACCAGAGGAAGGCUCUCUCAAACUGCACAGACUGAUGCAUGGUUGUUGCAGUGCUGCACUUGGUGGUUACUCUGUCCACUGACUUCCGUGCUGCCUGCUUUAGGUGGCUGACGGAGGCACUCAGUUACUUGAACAGGGGUAGUUUAGAAGGAGCUAAUUGUAUUCAAAAAUUGUAAUGUCUGUAGACUUAAUUGAUACUGUGAGGGAACAAGCUGUUUAGUUCAUCAGUGAUGACCACAUCAUACAUUCUACAUGAGUAAAGUUUACAAGGGGAAGCUGUUCAUAGUUAUUUUUUUUUGUCAAGUUUUGUACAAAUUAGAACCCUCUUUCAGGAAGGCAUCAUUAUGCCACAUUUGGAUUCUGUUCAGUAACAGAAGUGUAAACAAUUAAAGUCCUUUAAAUUUGAACACAACCUUAAACAUGCAAGCAAAGCUCUGACAAACAGUUGUUCAUGAUGGCCUCUAAUACUUGCUCACCAUCAUAACAGCAUCUCAUAAAUUGGAUUUAUCAUGUUCCCUUAACCUCUGUGCACUCUCAGUUUAUUCGUCAAGCUCACUCCCCCCACUAUUCUGAUGCCUUGAAUAGCUAUACCAAUGGAAGUGUUUUUGUCUUCUAAUCCAAACUGAAUUUUCCUUUCCUCACCACUGCGUGUGGCUGUUUGUUACAUGACCCUUUUUCCUCAACCUUUAUUAAAUCGUGAACGAGAAUCAGACUGAAGCUCUUACAUAGUCCUGCAGAUCUAAUAGGAAGAGCGUUAAUGCUUUAUAAUGCUCCUCUCCUUGUCUUCCAGACAGGAACAAAACACUUGUCUUCUCAUGAGAAGAAACGUAACAUUAGGGCUGAGACUGACAAUUUCAGCUCAUUUUAAAUAGCUGUUAAAGAGAUACAAUUUCACUUUAUAUCUGAGUUUGCAUGGGUGAAGUCACAAGGCCAGCUCCCUUUGAACAAAAUGCCGUGAAAUCAUUCUUGAAGAAUGCAUAAAUUCAAGCCAGUAAUAUCUUUGUGCCGUGCAAGUAGUUUCUUACUUGGAGGAAGUAAAAUUAGGUUGCAACCUGCAGUAACCUAUAGCCAACGGAGCCCUGCUGUCAUGCAGACACAAUCACAGGGUAACGUGGAGGAGUACUGAGCACUGUGUGCACGUGCAGCACCAGAAGGUUGAGGAGAGCCUCUGCAGCAGAACGGUCUGACAGCACAGCGUGGUCCUGGCGGCAUGCGGUGGGCAGCUACAGCAGGCAGCAUAUGGGAAAAGACAGAAAUGGGCCAUCUGGACACAGGAAAUCACACAAGCUGGGGAUGCAAUGAUAGCGUAAUUAUAAUCACUGUUUUCUCUCUCUUUUACAGCCAAACCGGGCAUUCUAGAGAACUUAGAUGAAGUCUAAAAUUAAUUGUGAAACACUCAGGGUGUAAUAUGGCCACAAAACGGUGAACAGUGGUUUUUGCGUUUUGUUUUUUAAAUAGAGUGCAAGAGAUGAAAUUUUGUGCCAGAUGCAUUUCACAUUUACUUUGUCUAACAGUCAACCCAGAUCAGACAUCCUUCUCUAAAUAUAUUAAUUUACAUGUUUCAUUGUAGUUCAUUACAACAAGUCUUCAAAUUCAUAGUCAAAAGAAAGGUAAGCGCCAGCGGUUGAGUUGCAUAAAGAAGGCAUGUUGCAGCAUGCCAUGGCUUGCUUUUCUGGCUUUUGCUUUUUCCUGACUGUCAAAAUUUUGGUCUACUGCCUGAGUCCUGGUCUUUCUUAGAACUGGACAAAUUUAUCCCUUUCUGUGGAGCUUCCAAAUGAGGGCAGAAAAGUCACCCAGUGCCAAGAUGUGACCGAAUAUAUUCUAGUAGGUAAUUGGUUCAACUCUGUCAACCAAGAUAAAGGGAUCUGCUGACACUUUAGUUCUUAGCUAACCCCGUAGACCUCAUGAAGAUAAUUUGAACAGAUAAGUGAACUGUGGUGGGUUGUUUUGGAGGGGGAAGAGGAGGGGUGUCUGCUUAAAUGGACAGACUUGCACUUAGAGCACAAGCUAACUGUUAAAGGAGUCAGCAGUGACUUUUUUUUUUCCUUACUUUAGCAUCUGUCUUCUCAAGGACAUCAUUUUAACUUUAGAGGGAAAAUUCCUGCAUGUGGCUUGCAGAUGAAGAAUCCAAGCUGCAAGCAGCACAGGAUCAGAUAAGCCAGUCCUAUCCACUGUUGUGAACUUAGCAGUCCAAGCAAAUUUCAUUUACUUGGCGAGAGCUGUCGGUACAGACAACAAACUUCCAAGGACUCCUGAAAGCAAAAGAGGAUGAGAAUGACUCUGGUAGCUCUUGGUGAUAGAUUCUCCUGAUUCUACUCAUCCUGGGAAGUGUUUUGCUGCCCUUCUCAGCACUGAUGUGAACAUCAAUGCAUUGCACAGCAAUUUUCACAAGGCAGAGCUCUGUUUGCUCAGGGACCCACAAGUUUCUACAAUGCACAUAGAGAAGGAGUCCUGACACUGGCUAGGUACCUUUACAUAAGUCAAGCCCCAGGAAAUGGCUUCUUACCAAUCUGAAACAUUUAUUUUAAGUACAGCUGAUACUCAGAAUUCAGCAACUACAUUGAUUCUGGAGAUUCUUUAUCAGCUCUGCUGCAUGGAAAGAGGCAGUCUUUGGAGCCCGAAAUGGAGAGCAGAGGAUCGAAGAGAGCUACUACUUCAGGAUGGGGCACGCUAAGAACACAACAACACAGAAGAGGAGAUGCUUGCGGAAGCACGCUUAUUAGACAAAACUUGAGACUGACAGCAGCUCUGGGUGCAGGUAAGUACAGAAAUCAUUCAUGAGCAGUGAGGUUUCAGUGAAUUUCAAUAGCUUUUAAUAGCAUUAAGAUAGGAUCAUUUUUCAUUUAUGUGCCUAGGCUGUAACAUCCUAGCAUUUUCUGUUGAAAAGCCUCAAUAUGUUGCAUCUACCCUAUGCCUUAUUAAGCACCUUGUAAAAUUUUGCUGGUUUUUCUCCUAUUUUCAUUCAUUUCCACUUUAGAGGAAGAUAUCUAAGCAGGACAUCAGAUAUUAUUCUAGCUGAUUGCUGAAAAAAUGAAUAAUGUCAAAACAUUGUCUCUAUAGCUAUGUAUUUUUAAUUAUCCGUUUCCACUUUUCAGUGUUUAACACGAGACCAGCCAAAGAAAUCACUAAUAAUUAGAGCCUCCUCUGGAUGCUCGCUGUGGCAUGGGGAGCACAGCUGACAUUUCACUGAGCUUCUGAGCCCUGCUGCGCUGCCUUUGAUCUGCGCUCCACUCAGCACACCGCUAGAUACUCUGCACAUGCUGCAGAGAGGAACCGCUCUCACUGCGCCUCGCCUGUCUGCAUGGGCAUCACUUGACGGGAGGCGCGAGCAGUUUUGGUAUGUGAAAGGGUGAUGUCAUUGCCUGUGGAAAAACUAUAAAGAAAGUGAAGCCUGAAUGAGAUUAUUAGCUGGAGGGGAGGCAAAAGAUGGUCUCUGGACAUCCGGUUUGAACUGGGGCUUGGGAGAUCUGUGUUCACUCUCCAACUUGGCCGCAAACUUCCUGUUUGACUUAAGGGGAAAAAUGUAAGCUGCAGGCUUGCUCAGUCCUGCAGAAAAGAAGAGGGCUUUACGCAGUUGUCCAUCUUUAGGGACCUAGUUACAGGGGAAGGAGUUAAGAUCGGUUAAUAUCAAGAGGCUUAACAGGCAUGUGUGACAUCUUUAUGUUAUAGACAUUUAACCCCCUGUCUGGACAUAUAUAUGGACACAAGUCCAUAUCUGUUUGUGCCUCAAAUCUCAGUGUUGCUGGGUAUCUGGAAAAUCUUCUAGCAUUUUGGGAAGAAGGGCAGGGUCAUUUGUUGUUGCAUAUUUAACUUUGGUUUGUGAAUGUUUAAAGUACAGAUUGCUUCUGCCUAUGUGUUUCAUACUGAACACAGCCACUGAAAAUCUGGUAUUGGGCAGGGAAUAUAGGAGCUGCUGUAAUAAAAACCGCACAAAAAGCCCAAGCACAGCUACUACAACAGAACCUAGGUCACCAAUACUGAAAUAUAAUUGUUGCUUUCAGCAGUAGGUAUCCUCUCUCACUAAGAUUUUUCAGCAACUAAGUACAUUACAGACAAGGUGCAGCUUGGAGGCCACGUGAGGAGGUCUACAACAUUAGUGCUAGCUCAGGUCUGUUACAAGGAACUCCCAAAAUACAAUUCAAAAGAGAAUCGGCAAGAGGACUUGCUCCUAUGCAUGUUUUGGUGAGAACGGUGGAAAAGUUUGUGGCAGAGGUGCAGAUCAUGUUUGGUGGGGCUUGUUCUGUUAAGUGCAAUGUUACUAAAACAUAGCUGCAUUGGUCCAGCUACCAGUAGAAGUAAGGGUCGCCUUCAGCAUCCAAAAGCUGGUCAGCCCUGCUCCAUCUGAAUGCAGGUGAAAAGAAGCUGCUGGUGUUCCUCCUCUCUAACCCUGCAUAAAUUGCUUAAUGCCCCUGCAACUUUAAUUCAGCUGCAAAAUGAGAUAAUGCUUGCUGGUCUGUCUAGAACACAUUAAGAUUUGCAAAGGAAAAUAACGUUUAUAGAUGAAUUAUAUUUAUGUAUUUUAUUUUACCAAGUACAUACCUGUAAGGAUAAAAGAUGAAAGAUUCCGAGGUAGCAGACACACAAUCCUUCCAUCUCUAAAACAAGCCUAAGUAGCGCAGUAAUUUGCUCAGCUUUCUUUCAUGUUUAUGAGCUUUUCUAUCAACAGGAUGUCUCGUGUUGUUAAAACCAUUUUCUUGGAAUUGGCAUUGCCAUUAUCCAUACCGAGCGCCUAGAAUAAUCUCUGCAGCAGGCAAAACUACUGUUGUCAACUAAAAACUAGGCUGUCGCCAAAGAGCUGGGUUCUGGCAUCAGCAAAUGCAUGGCUCUAUCUGGGAGGAAGCUAGACCUCUCCCUUUGUGUUUGAAUCAUUUCACAAUGGGGGUUGAUUAGCUGCUGUUCCUGCUGUUUGUAAGGAUAUCUUAUUCUUCUGCUUCCCCAAAAGCAAGCAAAAUCAUGACACCCCAGAAGGACUGCAGGAACUGUGACUCAUUUCAUGUGGUCUCCGUCAGUAUGCAGCACUGUCAAUACCCAAGUAUUAAAAAAACUAGUCUCAAAGAAUAAGUAAACUGGCUUAAAACACAUAAUCCAUAAGACCAUAUGUAUAUAUAAGGUUACUUUCCUGCUCUAUGAACAUCGAGCGACUUGCAGUUGCAUUGCAGCCAAGUUUGGUUUUCAUUUGUUAUUUUUACAUCCAGGGGCUUAAUUGCCGUUAGAAGAAAGCUGAGACUGUCGUGCUUUCACUUGACUCUCCGAACUGGCACUGCAAGUGGCUUCUGCUGGAGCUUGUGGAAAAUGCCUACUCCUCUGCAGUGUGCACCAUGCUUGAGAGAAAAAUGGGUAGAGAAAAUAAAUCACUCAUAAACGAAUCAGGAGGGUAAUUUUGUGAUAGCAUAAUUAUCAUAUUAUAAAAUUAUACUAAAUUAUUUUACAAUCAAUGGGGGAUGAAAGGAGAAUCCAGACCGAAAGAAGUUAGCCUGGUAUUACUUUUUAAUCUAGCUAAUGUCUAAGCAUUUUACAAUGUAACUAUUAUGUUUUGAAAGCAGGUGCUAUUGUAAUUGCCUAAGGAGCUGCAGUGUCUUACUGUAGCAUGUAUUACUGUUGCAUUUUUAAAUGUCCCUGCGGCUCAGAAUGCUGUCUAUUGUCAUGGGUUAUACAGCACAAAUUGCCGAAAAGAAUGAAAACAGGAAUGUAAAGAAAAAUGGCAAGAUUUCUAAGAAUUGCAUCAAAUUCCAAAAUGUUACUUUGUGCAAGAAAGACCAGAGCCUAUGUGCAAUUGUACAUAGAAAAAUAAUGAUUCUUUGAUCUCUCAGCCACAGGUUUAACAUUUUAAUUUCUUCUUCUGACAGCUGUUUCUGGGGAGCGUCUUGGGGAAGUGCUAUGCAUAAGUUAUAGUUGAGGAUAUGAAACAAAGUUGAAGAAAAUCCCAACCCAAGAAGGAAUAGGUGUCUUCAGUGUUGAUUUCCUAGAUAUCCCCAGAUAAAUUACAGUUUGUCUCUUUUUACAUUGUCAGAUUUUUACAAGCCAGGACUGUUUUUUUUUUUUUUUUUUUUUUUUUCCCAAUGGUUAACAUUGGUCCACAACGGUGGCUUUCACAGUCACUAGAAUAUUUGCAAAAAUAAUGCAGGAUAAAACUAUCCAAAUGCUACGUUACUGAUUCUUAUUGCCUUUAAAUAAAGCUGAGGAAUUAACUGAAGCUGUAUGACAUGUCACUGUUGUAGGUAGCAUCAGUGAAGUAGUGCUAAUGAUGCACAUUAAAUAUAACAUUGCAACAAGUUUUAAACUUUGAUCCAAUCUUUCCAUCUGCAUUAGUAAGUUGAUCCAAUACGUAACAGCUCACGAGGAUCCAGACUGACCCCUGGUCGCGUAAAGAAUUGCACAGGUUUGGAACUUUAUUGGUUUCCAGAGAGUUGCUAAUUCAAAUUUUUACUCAUAUCAGAACAAGUAUCUUUAGGAUACACUAAUAACUUCAAAAAAGACCAGAUAGGUUACUGAUUUGUGGCAGGUUCUGCCUGAUUUGUUGCAACAAAACAGACUACAAAAUCCCCAGACUGUCCCCUGGGAGGAAGCUGCAGUGAUGAAAAACAGAUACCUCCUCCCCUCCACUGAAGGACCAACAGAGGACAGAGCCGACAUAAGCCGCACACUACUACACGGUCAACACCACUACCAAAAAAUACAACCAGAUCUCUUAGCAUGGGAAUUCCAGGGAAAAGAAGCACCGUGUGUCCAUGCGUUCUCAGCAGGGAACCGAUUGCAUGCUAUUCCCUUUCGAACUGCAUUGAUCUCUGAUGUCAGGGAAGACUGUAUCCUUGACCAGACAGCUAAGGCUGUCUUUGUCCCCUGAGUACUUUACUCCCUGGUGUAAUAGCUGUCACUGAAAGAUAUUUCCUUCAUUUUGGAAGGCAAAGGUGAGCAUGCCACAAGACUGAUUCCUGUGACGCAACGUGCAUUUGUUGGCAGUGCCUAAUUAUAGCACAGAAAAACUACCGGCUUCCCCUCCCGAGGACAGAGUACGCGAUCUCUGCAGUACGCCUGCACUCUGCUCUUAACUUCUUCCUGUGUCACGCUGCCCACUGACACCGCAGUAAAAUGGCACUUGAUCAUUCCUCAGGCUACUGUGAAACAGCAGCGCUCUGGAGAUUUCUCAGCCUGCGUCCCUCCUCAAGGCUAAGCUGUGCCAGAUCUCGGUAGCUGGCUGUUUCCUCAAAGAUUUCUAAGUCACUAUCUCACUUGCCCUUCGAGAUACCAUCAGAAUCUAGUAUCAAUUCUGCACAUCACCCCAGUACAGGGAGAUACAACAUCUGCAAAGUAAAAGCAUUUUGUAAAAAUCAGUUUAUUUGUCCCCUCUAAUCAGCAGUGAAAGCAACCAACACAAAAAGUAGGCUAUAAUCACAUCACAUCAAAGUUUAAAAGGUUUACUUACCUUACAGGAAAGGUGAGCCUAAUGACUGUGAAAGAUAAAAAUUAAAUGGAAAAUGAAAAAGAAUACACAGUAAUUAAGAGGCAUUUGUCUUGAUCAACAUGCUAGGAGAGUGCUCCUGGAAAACAGAAAAAGAUUUAGUGCCCUUCUUUUUAGAGAAGAAAGUCUUUUAUUGAAA
Molecule: long non-coding RNA, 7636 nt
Organism: Oxyura jamaicensis (ruddy duck)
Lineage: Eukaryota; Metazoa; Chordata; Aves; Anseriformes; Anatidae
Exons: 5
Source: RefSeq, a predicted model, not a curated record